This 303-nucleotide ribosomal RNA is filed under the name uncultured bacterium. RNAcentral describes it as "partial 16S ribosomal RNA". It matches the Rfam family "Bacterial small subunit ribosomal RNA", at positions 507 to 808 of the family's 1533-position model. The record is from RNAcentral.
AGCAGUCGCCGCGGUAAGACGAACCGUGCAAACGUUACUCGGAAUCACUGGGCUUAAAGCGCACGUAGGCGGCGACAUAAGUUAGAGGUGAAAUCCCAUCGGCUCAACCGUGGAACUGCCUCUAAUACUGUGUUGCUUGAGGGAGAACGGGGCAUUCGGAACUUCCGGUGGAGCGGUGAAAUGUGUUGAUAUCGGAAGGAACGCCGGUGGCGAAAGCGGAAUGCUGGGUCUCUUCUGACGCUGAGGUGCGAAAGCUAGGGUAGCGAACGGGAUUAGAUACCCGGGUAGUCCCUGUCUCUUAUA